CCUACGGGUGGCAGCAGUGAGGAAUAUUGGUCAAUGGACGCAAGUCUGAACCAGCCAAGUAGCGUGCAGGAUGACGGCCCUCCGGGUUGUAAACUGCUUUUAGAAGGGAAUAAAAGGGGGCACGUGAGCCCCGUAGUGUAUGUACCAUCAGAAAAAGGACCGGCGAAUUCCGUGCCAGCAGCCGCGGUAAUACGGAAGGUCCGGGCGUUAUCCGGAUUUAGUGGGUGUAAAGGGAGCGUAGGCGGGCUUUUAAGUCAGCUGGGAAAGUCCGCGGCUCAACCGUGGAAUUGCAGUUGAAACUGGCGGCCUUGAGUGCUGGUGAGGCAAUCGGACUUCCGUGUGUAGCGGU
This 349-nucleotide ribosomal RNA is filed under the name uncultured bacterium. RNAcentral's name for it is "partial 16S ribosomal RNA". It matches the Rfam family "Bacterial small subunit ribosomal RNA", at positions 338 to 682 of the family's 1533-position model. The record is from RNAcentral.